This 1343-nucleotide ribosomal RNA is filed under the name uncultured bacterium. Its description in RNAcentral is "16S ribosomal RNA". It matches the Rfam family "Bacterial small subunit ribosomal RNA", at positions 28 to 1378 of the family's 1533-position model. The record is from RNAcentral.
GACGAACGCUGGCGGCGUGCUUAACACAUGCAAGUCGAACGGAAAGGCCCUGCUUUUGUGGGGUGCUCGAGUGGCGAACGGGUGAGUAACACGUGAGUAACCUGCCCUUGACUUUGGGAUAACUUCAGGAAACUGGGGCUAAUACCGGAUAGGAGCUCCUGCUGCAUGGUGGGGGUUGGAAAGUUUCGGCGGUUGGGGAUGGACUCGCGGCUUAUCAGCUUGUUGGUGGGGUAGUGGCUUACCAAGGCUUUGACGGGUAGCCGGCCUGAGAGGGUGACCGGCCACAUUGGGACUGAGACACGGCCCAGACUCCUACGGGAGGCAGCAGUGGGGAAUAUUGCACAAUGGGCGGAAGCCUGAUGCAGCAACGCCGCGUGCGGGAUGACGGCCUUCGGGUUGUAAACCGCUUUCGCCUGUGACGAAGCGUGAGUGACGGUAAUGGGUAAAGAAGCACCGGCUAACUACGUGCCAGCAGCCGCGGUGAUACGUAGGGUGCGAGCGUUGUCCGGAUUUAUUGGGCGUAAAGGGCUCGUAGGUGGUUGAUCGCGUCGGAAGUGUAAUCUUGGGGCUUAACCCUGAGCGUGCUUUCGAUACGGGUUGACUUGAGGAAGGUAGGGGAGAAUGGAAUUCCUGGUGGAGCGGUGGAAUGCGCAGAUAUCAGGAGGAACACCAGUGGCGAAGGCGGUUCUCUGGGCCUUUCCUGACGCUGAGGAGCGAAAGCGUGGGGAGCGAACAGGCUUAGAUACCCUGGUAGUCCACGCUGUAAACGGUGGGUACUAGGUGUGGGGUCCAUUCCACGGGUUCCGUGCCGUAGCUAACGCUUUAAGUACCCCGCCUGGGGAGUACGGCCGCAAGGCUAAAACUCAAAGGAAUUGACGGGGCCCCGCACAAGCGGCGGAGCAUGCGGAUUAAUUCGAUGCAACGCGUAGAACCUUACCUGGGUUUGACAUGGAUCGGGAGUGCUCAGAGAUGGGUGUGCCUCUUUUGGGGUCGGUUCACAGGUGGUGCAUGGCUGUCGUCAGCUCGUGUCGUGAGAUGUUGGGUUAAGUCCCGCAACGAGCGCAACCCUUGUUCACUGUUGCCAGCACGUUAUGGUGGGGACUCAGUGGAGACCGCCGGGGUCAACUCGGAGGAAGGUGGGGAUGACGUCAAGUCAUCAUGCCCCUUAUGUCCAGGGCUUCACGCAUGCUACAAUGGCUGGUACAGAGAGUGGCGAGCCUGUGAGGGUGAGCGAAUCUCGGAAAGCCGGUCUCAGUUCGGAUUGGGGUCUGCAACUCGACCUCAUGAAGUCGGAGUCGCUAGUAAUCGCAGAUCAGCAACGCUGCGGUGAGUACGUUCCCGGG